CCUACGGGUGGCUGCAGUGGGGAAUAUUGGACAAUGGGGGGAACCCUGAUCCAGCCAUGCCGCGUGUGUGAAGAAGGCCCUCGGGUUGUAAAGCACUUUCAGUGAGGAAGAACGCCUGGUGGUUAAUACCCAUCAGGAAAGACAUCACUCACAGAAGAAGCACCGGCUAACUCCGUGCCAGCAGCCGCGGUAAUACGGAGGGUGCGAGCGUUAAUCGGAAUUACUGGGCGUAAAGCGCGCGUAGGUGGCUUGAUAAGCCGGUUGUGAAAGCCCCGGGCUCAACCUGGGAACGGCAUCCGGAACUGUCAAGCUAGAGUGCAGGAGAGGAAGGUAGAAUUCCCGGUGUAGCGGUGAAAUGCGUAGAGAUCGGGAGGAAUACCAGUGGCGAAGGCGGUCUUCUGGACUGACACUGACACUGAGGUGCGAAAGCGUGGGUAGCAAACAGGAUUAGAUACCCCUGUAGUC
This 465-nucleotide ribosomal RNA is filed under the name Vreelandella stevensii. RNAcentral describes it as "partial 16S ribosomal RNA". It matches the Rfam family "Bacterial small subunit ribosomal RNA", at positions 338 to 795 of the family's 1533-position model. Lineage: Bacteria; Pseudomonadati; Pseudomonadota; Gammaproteobacteria; Oceanospirillales; Halomonadaceae. The record is from RNAcentral.